This 497-nucleotide ribosomal RNA is filed under the name uncultured bacterium. RNAcentral's name for it is "partial 16S ribosomal RNA". It matches the Rfam family "Bacterial small subunit ribosomal RNA", at positions 28 to 507 of the family's 1533-position model. The record is from RNAcentral.
GAUGAACGCUGGCGGCGUGCCUAAUACAUGCAAGUCGAGCGAACGGACGAUAAGCUUGCUUCUCUCAUGUUAGCGGCGGACGGGUGAGUAACACGUGGAUAACCCACCUAUAAUACUGGGAUAACUUCGGGACACCGGCGCUAAUACCGGAUAAUAUUUUGAACCGCAUGGUUCAAAAGUGAAAGACGGUGUUGCUGUCACUUCUCGAUGCAUCCGCGCUGCAUUAGCUAGUUGGUAGGGUAACGGCUUACCAAGGCAACGAUGCAUAGCCGACCUAAGAGAGUGGUCGGCGACCUUGGAACGGGACCGGGGUCAAUACGACUACGGGAGGGAGCAGUAGCGAACCGUCCGCAAUAGGCGGAAGCCUGACGGAGCAGCGCCGAGUCUGAUGUAGAGGUCUUGGGAUCGUAAAACUCUGUUAUGAGGGAAGAACAUAUGUGUAAGGAACUGUGGACAUCUUGACGGUACCUAAUCAGAAAGCCACGGCUAACUACGUG